This 465-nucleotide long non-coding RNA is filed under the name Anser brachyrhynchus (Pink-footed goose). RNAcentral's name for it is "lncRNA (ENSABRG00000022689.1)". Lineage: Eukaryota; Metazoa; Chordata; Aves; Anseriformes; Anatidae. The record is from RNAcentral.
CUCAGAGCAGAGGUGGGGCUGUACCUCCGGCAGGACACCCUUGUGGCAUCCCCGUGUCCGAUCCUGCUCCCAGCUACCCAAAGGCACUGGUCCGAGCAAGCGCCAAGAAGCCUGUGCAUAUGCAAACCAGCUACUGAUGGAGUAGGAUUUAAAAAGUCUGCAGAGAGAUUUGUUGGUGGGGGGGAAGGAAGCAGAAGGAGCUGUGGGAGAAAGCCUGCCACCAUUUUCCCCCCACUUCAAAGUUAAAAUGAGAGGUCUGAUGCCAUUUCCAGGACUGAUGCCAAGGUGCUGAGCACAAGUGAGCGGUGACUUUUUUGGGGUGAGGAUCCGAGGUCCCUUCACCUCCUGCAAGGUAAGGAACCACAGCCUUGGUCGCUUUUCCUGGGAGGGUUUCACUUGUAUUUUGGACAGCCCUGGGACUGUAACAUCCUUUGUUUUUUAGACUGGAGGUUGUCAUUGCUGAAA